CGGGUGAGUAAUAUAUCGGAACGUACCCAGAAGUGGGGGAUAACGUAGCGAAAGUUACGCUAAUACCGCAUACGAUCUACGGAUGAAAGUGGGGGACCUUCGGGCCUCAUGCUUGUGGAGCGGCCGAUAUCUGAUUAGCUAGUUGGUAGGGUAAAGGCCUACCAAGGCGACGAUCAGUAGCUGGUCUGAGAGGACGNCCAGCCACACUGGGACUGAGACACGGCCCAGACUCCUACGGGAGGCAGCAGUGGGGAAUUUUGGACAAUGGGCGCAAGCCUGAUCCAGCAAUGCCGCGUGAGUGAAGAAGGCCUUCGGGUUGUAAAGCUCUUUUGUCAGGGAAGAAACGGCUGAGGUUAAUACCUUGGCUAAGACGG
Molecule: ribosomal RNA, 374 nt
Filed under: uncultured bacterium
Lineage: Bacteria
Description: bacterial SSU rRNA
Rfam family: Bacterial small subunit ribosomal RNA
Source: RNAcentral